GACGAACGCUGGCGGCGUGCCUAAUACAUGCAAGUAGAACGCUGACGGAGGAGCUUGCUUCUCUGGAUGAGUUGCGAACGGGUGAGUAACGCGUAGGUAACCUGCCUGGUAGCGUGGGUUAACUAUUGGAAACGAUAGCUAAUACCGCAUAAGAGUAGAUGUUGCAUGACAUUUGCUUAAAAGGUGCAAUUGCAUCACUACCAGAUGGACCUGCGUUGUAUUAGCUAGUUGGUGGGGUAACGGCUCACCAAGGCGACGGUACAUAGCCGACCUGAGAGGGUGGUCGGCCACCCUGGGACUGAGAAACGGCCCAGAAUCCUAACGGAGGCAGCCAGAGGGAAUCUUUGGCAAUGGACGGAAGGCUUACCGCGCAAAGCCGGGUGGGUGAAGGAGGUUGUCGGGUCGUAAAGCUCCGUUGUUAGAGAAGGAAGCGGGUGAGAGUGGAAAGUGCACACUGUGACGGUACCUGACGAGAAAGGGACGGCUAACUACGUG
This 495-nucleotide ribosomal RNA is filed under the name uncultured bacterium. Its description in RNAcentral is "partial 16S ribosomal RNA". It matches the Rfam family "Bacterial small subunit ribosomal RNA", at positions 28 to 507 of the family's 1533-position model. The record is from RNAcentral.